GAUGAACGCUGGCGGCGUGCCUAAUACAUGCAAGUCGAGCGAACAGAUGAGGAGCUUGCUCCUCUGACGUUAGCGGCUGACGGGUGAGUAACACGUGGAUAACCUACCUAUAAUACUGGGAUAACUUCGGGAAACCGGAGCUAAUACCGGAUAAUAUAUUGAACCGCAUCGUUCAAUAGUGAAAGACGGUUUUGCUGUCACUUAUAGAUGGAUCCGCGCCGCAUUAGCUAGUUGGUAAGGUAACGGCUUACCAAGGCAACGAUGCGUAGCCGACCUGAGAGGGUGAUCGGCCACACUGGAACUGAGACACGGUCCAGACUCCUACGGGAGGCAGCAGUAGGGAAUCUUCCGCAAUGGGCGAAAGCCUGACGGAGCAACGCCGCGUGAGUGAUGAAGGUCUUCGGAUCGUAAAACUCUGUUAUUAGGGAAGAAAAAAUGUGUAAGUAACUAUGCACGUCUUGACGGUACCUAAUCAGAAAGCCACGGCUAACUACGUG
This 497-nucleotide ribosomal RNA is filed under the name uncultured bacterium. RNAcentral's name for it is "partial 16S ribosomal RNA". It matches the Rfam family "Bacterial small subunit ribosomal RNA", at positions 28 to 507 of the family's 1533-position model. The record is from RNAcentral.